GGUUUCAUGGUGUAGUGGUAUCACGUCUGCCUCACACGCAGUAGGUCCUGGGUUCGAACCCCAGUGAAACCA
Acanthamoeba castellanii str. Neff is the source of this 72-nucleotide transfer RNA. It matches the Rfam family "tRNA". Rfam says of the family: Transfer RNA (tRNA) molecules are approximately 80 nucleotides in length. Their secondary structure includes four short double-helical elements and three loops (D, anti-codon, and T loops). Further hydrogen bonds mediate the characteristic L-shaped molecular structure. tRNAs have two regions of fundamental functional importance: the anti-codon, which is responsible for specific mRNA codon recognition, and the 3' end, to which the tRNAs corresponding amino acid is attached (by aminoacyl-tRNA synthetases). tRNAs cope with the degeneracy of the genetic code in two manners: having more than one tRNA (with a specific anti-codon) for a particular amino acid; and 'wobble' base-pairing, i.e. permitting non-standard base-pairing at the 3rd anti-codon position. The record is from Rfam. Lineage: Eukaryota; Discosea; Longamoebia; Acanthamoebidae.